Molecule: ribosomal RNA, 497 nt
Filed under: uncultured bacterium
Lineage: Bacteria
Description: partial 16S ribosomal RNA
Rfam family: Bacterial small subunit ribosomal RNA
Source: RNAcentral
GAUGAACGCUGGCGGCGUGCCUAACACAUGCAAGUCGAGCGGAAAGACGAGGAGCUUGUGCCUUUGACGUUAGCGGCGGACGGGUGAGUAACACGUGGAUCACCUACUUAUAUUACGGGGAUAAUUACGGAAAACCGGAGAUAAUACCGGAGAAUAUAUUGAACCGCAGGGUGCAAUAGUGAAUGACGGUUUUGGUGUCUGUAAUAGACGGUUCCGCGCCGGAUUAGCGGGUGGGUAAGGUACCGGCUUACCAAGGCAACGAUGCGUAGCCGACCUGAGAGGGGGUUCGGCGACACUGGAACUGAGACACGGUCCAGACUCCUACGGGAGGCAGCAGUAGGGAAUCUUCCGCAAUGGGCGCAAGCCUGACGGAGCAACGCCGCGUGAGUGAUGAAGGUCUUCGGAUCGUAAAACUCUGUUAUUAGGGAAGAACAAAUGUGUAAGUAACUAUGCACGUCUUGACGGUACCUAAUCAGAAAGCCACGGCUAACUACGUG